AAGUAUUAAAGGUCCCGCCUGCCCAGUGAAAACAUCUUCAACGGCCGCGGUAUUCUAACCGUGCAAAGGUAGCGUAAUCACUUGUCUUCUAAAUAAAGACUAGUAUGAACGGCUAAAUGAGGAUAAAUCUGUCUCUUACAACUAAUCAGUGAAACUGAUCUUCCAGUACAAAAGCUGGAAUUAAAACAUAAGACGAGAAGACCCCGUGGAGCUUAAAAUAAACAACUAACCAACACCAGCACUAGUGAACUAUUUUGAGUUGGGGCGACUUCGGAGUAAAACAAAACCUCCGAGAACAGAACCACCACUUCUAACUAAGGCCCACAAGCCUAAGUAAAAAUUGACCCGGCCUUACCGAUCAACGAACCAAGUUACCCCGGGGAUAACAGCGCUAUCUUCUUCAAGAGUCCCUAUCAACAAGAAGGUUUACGACCUCGAUGUUGGAUCAGGACACCCAAAUGGUGCAGCCGCUAUUAAAGGUUCGUUUGUUCAACGAUUAAUAGUCCUACGUGAUCUGAGUUCAGACCGGAG
RNAcentral lists this ribosomal RNA (531 nucleotides) under Trachylepis sparsa. RNAcentral's name for it is "partial 16S ribosomal RNA". It matches the Rfam family "Bacterial large subunit ribosomal RNA", at positions 1841 to 2621 of the family's 2925-position model. Lineage: Eukaryota; Metazoa; Chordata; Lepidosauria; Squamata; Scincidae. The record is from RNAcentral.